GACGAACGCUGGCGGCGUGCUUAACACAUGCAAGUCGAACGGUAAGGCCCUUCGGGGUACACGAGUGGCGAACGGGUGAGUAACACGUGGGUGAUCUGCCCUGCACUUCGGGAUAAGCCUGGGAAACUGGGUCUAAUACCGGAUAGGACUCCUGGCUUCAUGGUUGGGGGUGGAAAGCUUUUGCGGUGUGGGAUGGGCCCGCGGCCUAUCAGCUUGUUGGUGGGGUAAUGGCCUACCAAGGCGAAGCCGGGUAGCCGGCCUGAGAGGGUGACCGGUCGCACUGGGACUGAGAUACUGCCCAGACUCCUACGGGAGGCAGCAGUGGGGAAUAUUGCACAAUGGGCGCAAGCCUGAUGCAGCGACGCCGCGUGAGGGAUGACGGCCUUCAGGUUGUAAACCUCUUUCAGCUAUGACGAAGCGCAAGUGACGGUAGUAGCAGAAGAAGGACCGGCCAACUACGUGCCAGCCGCCGCGGUAA
This 478-nucleotide ribosomal RNA is filed under the name uncultured bacterium. RNAcentral describes it as "partial 16S ribosomal RNA". It matches the Rfam family "Bacterial small subunit ribosomal RNA", at positions 28 to 523 of the family's 1533-position model. The record is from RNAcentral.